This 841-nucleotide long non-coding RNA is filed under the name Vigna radiata. RNAcentral describes it as "long non-coding RNA (VRAD_LNC006706)". The record is from RNAcentral. Lineage: Eukaryota; Viridiplantae; Streptophyta; Magnoliopsida; Fabales; Fabaceae.
CAAAUUCUACAAGUUGCUUUUUAAAUAAAUCUAAUGUUCUCUUUAAAUAAUACUUCUUGCAGCAUCAUCAAAACAAUUCUUCAUGUUUUACCAAUGCUCCUUAUUGGUAACAAUCUCCCCCUUUUUGAUGAUGAUCAAAAAUUCACUUUUAAAAGCAACUCUGGUUUACCUGCAACACAUACAAGCUAAAAGACAACCACAAAGUUAGCAGUACCUGUACAAUUGUAAAAUAUUUCUCCCCUUAAUUCUCCUCUUUAUAAUUCUUCUCCCCCUUUUUUAUCAUAAGCAAAAAGAUUAAAUUAAAAAGCUCCCCCUAAAUAUGAUCUCCCCCUAAAUAUGAUCUCCCCCUCAAUUAAACAAUGUAUGCAUAAAACAAGAGAUCAUGUUAUUUAUAAAAGAAAGGAUUACAUCAACACCAUAAGGAGAAACAUAAAAGAGAAAUAUAACAUAGAGAUAAGAAUAACAACCAAUCCACAAAGCACUCAGACAAAAAAAUUCUAAUUCUAAAAUUCAGGACUUGGGAUCUCUCGAGUGAUUGAAGGUUUAGAUGAUUUUCAAUAUUUCCUAGAUGAACAUCAAUGUCAAGAAAUUGAGCAACCAUAUAAUCUUCAUGAGCUUGCUACCACUAAUAAAUUUGAUCAAAGUUAGCUUUCUGGACAAGACUCAUAUCUUCCAGUUAUCACAAAAGUUCUCAAUCAAAAGCUUCACCCCCUCUUUUAAAAAAAAUCAUCUAAAGUUUAUGCUCCCCAUAAAAUAGGUAAAUUAAAAAGGAUUUAAGUCCUUUAAAAGUACUCCCCCUAAAUNUAAUAAUCCCNUUUGAUAAAACAAACCAAAAAGAAUU